Molecule: ribosomal RNA, 465 nt
Filed under: uncultured bacterium
Lineage: Bacteria
Description: partial 16S ribosomal RNA
Rfam family: Bacterial small subunit ribosomal RNA
Source: RNAcentral
GACGAACGCUGGCGGCGUGCUUAACACAUGCAAGUCGAACGGAAAGGCCCUGCUUUUCGGGUACUCGCGUGGCGAACGGGUGAGUAACACACGGGUGUACUCCCCUCCUCUCCGGGAUAAGCCUGGAAAAAUCGGGGUAUUACCCGGUGUGACAUUUCCUGCAGCGUGGGGGGGGGUAAGAUGUAUCGGUGUGGGAUGAGCCCGCGGCCUAUCAGCUUGUUGGUGGGGUAGUGGCGUACCAAGGCGUCGACGGGUAGCCGGCCUGAGAGGGUGGACGGCCACAUUGGGACUGAGAUACGGCCCAGACUCCUACGGGAGGCAGCAGUGGGGAAUAUUGCACAAUGGGCGGAAGCCUGAUGCAGCGACGCCGCGUGGGGGAUGACGGCCUUCGGGUUGUAAACCGCUUUCGACAGGGACGAAGCGUGGGUGACGGUACCGGUAUAAGAAGCACCGGCUAACUACGUG